CCUUACGGGUACGGGGAUUAGGGUUCGAUUCCGGAGAGGGAGCCUGAGAAACGGCUACCACAUCCAAGGAAGGCAGCAGGCGCGCAAAUUACCCAAUCCCAACACGGGGAGGUAGUGACAAUAAAUAACAAUAUGGGGCCCUUACGGGUUUCGUAAUUGGAAUGAGUACAAUUUAAAUCUCUUAACGAGGAACAAUUGGAGGGCAAGUCUGGUGCCAGCAGCCGCGGUAAUUCCAGCUCCAAUAGCGUAUAUUAAAGUUGUUGCAGUUAAAAAGCUCGUAGUUGAAUUUCGGGAUUUGNCAGUUGGUCGGGCUUNACUGUCCGUAUUGACUNGAUGGAUUCUUACCUUCUGAAUAACCAGCAUGCUAUUAANUUAGUGCGUUGGGGAAGCAGAUCUAUUACCUUGAAAAAAUUANAGUGCUUAAAGCGAGCUAGUGCUUGAAUANAUUANCAUGGAAUAAUAAAAUAGGACGGCAUGGUUCUAUUUUGUUGGUUUCUAGGAUCACCGUAAUGAUUAAUAGGGAUAGUUGGGGGCAUUAGUAUUCAAUUGUCANANGUGAAAUUCUUGGAUUUAUUGAAGACUAACUUCUGCGAAAGCAUUUGCCAAGGAUGUUUUCAUUAAUCAAGAACGAAAGUUAGGGGAUCGAAGACGAUCANAUACCGUCGUAGUCUUAACCAUAAACUAUGCCGACUAGGAAUCGGACGAUGUUAAUUUUAUAAUGACUCGUUCGGCACCUUACGGGGAAACCAAAGUGUUUNGGGUUNC
This 765-nucleotide ribosomal RNA is filed under the name Acaulospora longula. RNAcentral describes it as "SSU rRNA". It matches the Rfam family "Eukaryotic small subunit ribosomal RNA", at positions 351 to 1115 of the family's 1831-position model. Lineage: Eukaryota; Fungi; Glomeromycota; Glomeromycetes; Diversisporales; Acaulosporaceae. The record is from RNAcentral.